RNAcentral lists this ribosomal RNA (428 nucleotides) under uncultured bacterium. Its description in RNAcentral is "partial 16S ribosomal RNA". It matches the Rfam family "Bacterial small subunit ribosomal RNA", at positions 354 to 796 of the family's 1533-position model. The record is from RNAcentral.
GUAGGGAAUAUUGCGCAAUGGACGAAAGUCUGACGCAGCGACGCCGCGUGAGUGAUGAAGGCCUUAGGGUCGUAAAGCUCUGUUGAAUGGGAAGAAAAAAAUGACGGUACCAUUCGAGGAAGGACCGGCUAACUUCGUGCCAGCAGCGGCGGUAAUACGAGGGGUCCUAGCGUUGUUCGGAAUCAUUGGGCGUAAAGGGUGUGUAGGUGGCCAUGUAAGUCAGGUGUGAAAGCCCCGGGCUCAACCCGGGAAGUGCACUUGAUACUGCGUGGCUUGAGUACCGAAGAGGGUAGUGGAAUUCCAGGUGUAGUGGUGAAAUACGUAGAUAUCUGGAGGAACACCGGUGGCGAAGGCGGCUACCUGGUCGAGUACUGACACUGAGACACGAAAGCAUGGGGAUCAAACAGGAUUAGAAACCCGUGUAGUCC